RNAcentral lists this ribosomal RNA (473 nucleotides) under uncultured bacterium. RNAcentral's name for it is "bacterial SSU rRNA". It matches the Rfam family "Bacterial small subunit ribosomal RNA", at positions 335 to 801 of the family's 1533-position model. The record is from RNAcentral.
ACUCCUACGGGAGGCAGCAGUAGGGAAUCUUCCACAAUGGGCGCAAGCCUGAUGGAGCAACACCGCGUGAGUGAAGAAGGGUUUCGGCUCGUAAAGCUCUGUUGUUAAAGAAGAACACGUAUGAGAGUAACUGUUCAUACGUUGACGGUAUUUAACCAGAAAGUCACGGCUAACUACGUGCCAGCAGCCGCGGUAAUACGUAGGUGGCAAGCGUUAUCCGGAUUUAUUGGGCGUAAAGAGAGUGCAGGCGGUUUUCUAAGUCUGAUGUGAAAGCCUUCGGCUUAACCGGAGAAGUGCAUCGGAAACUGGAUAACUUGAGUGCAGAAGAGGGUAGUGGAACUCCAUGUGUAGCGGUGGAAUGCGUAGAUAUAUGGAAGAACACCAGUGGCGAAGGCGGCUACCUGGUCUGCGACUGACGCUGAGACUCGAAAGCAUGGGUAGCGAACAGGAUUAGAUACCCUGGUAGGAUAGCG